GAUGGCUGCCAGGUGCGGUGGCUAAGCCUGGGCACAUCUGAAGCCGGUGCCGACCAUCAGGGCGACGAGAGAGUGUUAUUAAGCCGAGUUGGCCAGGUCCCUAAGUCUUGGAUGGCGAGCUGUAGAUAGGCCUUGAGCCUGAGCCCAAGGAUCUCCACCUCUCAACCCCUGAACUCCACCUGCUCUGGUCGGGCCGGUAGGCGGCUUCUAGCCGAACCCCUUGCCUCGCACCUCAUUACUCUGCAGCCCUUUGCACUACCUCAUACACACCCUGCCCAUAAACUCAACUGUCACUACAAACUGCCAUAUCCACAACCCCAACCCUGGGACCCCAUUUUGAAAAUUCCUAGCGCCAACAUUGCUGUCAACAG
Molecule: long non-coding RNA, 371 nt
Organism: Entelurus aequoreus (snake pipefish)
Lineage: Eukaryota; Metazoa; Chordata; Actinopteri; Syngnathiformes; Syngnathidae
Exons: 3
Source: RefSeq, a predicted model, not a curated record